This 987-nucleotide small RNA is filed under the name Pongo abelii (Sumatran orangutan). RNAcentral describes it as "retained intron". Lineage: Eukaryota; Metazoa; Chordata; Mammalia; Primates; Hominidae. The record is from RNAcentral.
UUCGAGGACGACAAGAUCUCCCUGCCCUUCGUGGUGACUGAUCUUCGUGGCCGCAACCUGCGGCCCAUGCGGGAGCGGACUGCUGUCCAGGGCCAGUACCUGACAGUGGAGCAGCUCACACUAGACUUCGAAUAUGUUAUCAAUGAGGUCAUCCGCCACGAUGCUACCUGGGGCCACCAGUUCUGUUCUUUCAGCGACUAUGACAUCGUCAUUCUAGAGGUCUGCCCAGAAACCAACCAGGUCCUCAUCAACAUUGGCCUGCUGCUCCUGGCCUUCCCGUCCCCCACUGAGGAGGGCCAGCUCCGACCAAAGACCUAUCACACCAGCCUCAAGGUGGCAUGGGACCUCAACACAGGGAUCUUCGAGACAGUCAGUGUAGGCGACCUGACUGAGGUCAAAGGGCAGACCAGGUGAGGCAGGGCUGGGGGGCAGGGUCGGGGGUGGCCAAGGCGAUGAGAGCCACUCACCCCCUGGCCCCGCAGCGGCAGUGUCUGGAGCUCCUACCGCAAGAGCUGCGUGGACAUGGUCAUGAAGUGGCUGGUGCCCGAGAGCAGCGGCCGCUACGUCAACAGGAUGACCAAUGAGGCGCUGCACAAAGGGUGCUCCCUGAAGGUUCUGGCAGACAGCGAGCGAUACACGUGGAUCGUGCUGUGAGGGCCGGGCCGCCCCGGACACUGACUCCAACUACCUCCGUGGCCUGGGACCGGCCGCCUCCCUGGGGUGGCCUCUUCCUGGCCGGCUGGCCCACCGACUGAUGACCGGCACUAGUGUUAGGCUGCGGAACGGGGCUGGGCAGGGCAGUCUCUGUUGGCCUGAGGGUCUGGACGCUUUUUAUUUAUGCCUAUUUAAGUUGAGAAGGGGCAGAGAGGGCGCUCCCUGCCCCACCAGCCUGAGCGCCCCGCCUUCACCCCGAGCUGGGCAUGGGCCUGGACCCUCGUGCAUUUGCCCCUUUCCUCAGCUACAGCUGCGGACGUUGCCCUCGGGGAG